UCAGGAUGAACGCCGGCGGUGUGCCUAAUACAUGCAAGUCGAACGCUGUGUGCCCAAUUGAUUGAUGGUGCUUGCACCUGAUCGAUUUUGGUCGCCAACGAGUGGCGGACGGGUGAGUAACACGUAGGUAACCUGCCCAGAAGCGGGGGACAACAUUUGGAAACAGAUGCUAAUACCGCAUAACAACGUUGUUCGCAUGAGCAACGCUUAAAAGAUGGCUUCUCGCUAUCACUUCUGGAUGGACCUGCGGUGCAUUAGCUUGUUGGUGGGGUAACGGCCUACCAAGGCGAUGAUGCAUAGCCGAGUUGAGAGACUGAUCGGCCACAAUGGGACUGAGACACGGCCCAUACUCCUACGGGAGGCAGCAGUAGGGAAUCUUCCACAAUGGGCGCAAGCCUGAUGGAGCAACACCGCGUGAGUGAAGAAGGGUUUCGGCUCGUAAAGCUCUGUUGUUAAAGAAGAACACGUAUGAGAGUAACUGUUCAUACGUUGACGGUAUUUAACCAGAAAGUCACGGCUAACUACGUGCCAGCAGCCGCGGUAAUACGUAGGUGGCAAGCGUUAUCCGGAUUUAUUGGGCGUAAAGAGAGUGCAGGCGGUUUUCUAAGUCUGAUGUGAAAGCCUUCGGCUUAACCGGAGAAGUGCAUCGGAAACUGGAUAACUUGAGUGCAGAAGAGGGUAGUGGAAC
This 688-nucleotide ribosomal RNA is filed under the name Limosilactobacillus fermentum. RNAcentral describes it as "bacterial SSU rRNA". It matches the Rfam family "Bacterial small subunit ribosomal RNA", at positions 24 to 667 of the family's 1533-position model. Lineage: Bacteria; Bacillati; Bacillota; Bacilli; Lactobacillales; Lactobacillaceae. The record is from RNAcentral.